This 2357-nucleotide ribosomal RNA is filed under the name Salmonella enterica subsp. enterica serovar Enteritidis. RNAcentral describes it as "partial 23S ribosomal RNA". It matches the Rfam family "Bacterial large subunit ribosomal RNA", at positions 601 to 2925 of the family's 2925-position model. The record is from RNAcentral. Lineage: Bacteria; Pseudomonadati; Pseudomonadota; Gammaproteobacteria; Enterobacterales; Enterobacteriaceae.
GUACCUUUUGUAUAAUGGGUCAGCGACUUAUAUUCUGUAGCAAGGUUAACCGAAUAGGGGAGCCGGAGGGAAACCGAGUCUUAACCGGGCGUUAAGUUGCAGGGUAUAGACCCGAAACCCGGUGAUCUAGCCAUGGGCAGGUUGAAGGUUGGGUAACACUAACUGGAGGACCGAACCGACUAAUGUUGAAAAAUUAGCGGAUGACCUGUGGCUGGGGGUGAAAGGCCAAUCAAACCGGGAGAUAGCUGGUUCUCCCCGAAAGCUAUUUAGGUAGCGCCUCGUGAAUUCAUCUCCGGGGGUAGAGCACUGUUUCGGCUAGGGGGCCAUCCCGGCUUACCAACCCGAUGCAAACUGCGAAUACCGGAGAAUGUUAUCACGGGAGACACACGGCGGGUGCUAACGUCCGUCGUGAAGAGGGAAACAACCCAGACCGCCAGCUAAGGUCCCAAAGUCAUGGUUAAGUGGGAAACGAUGUGGGAAGGCCCAGACAGCCAGGAUGUUGGCUUAGAAGCAGCCAUCAUUUAAAGAAAGCGUAAUAGCUCACUGGUCGAGUCGGCCUGCGCGGAAGAUGUAACGGGGCUAAACCAUGCACCGAAGCUGCGGCAGCGACACUGUGUGUUGUUGGGUAGGGGAGCGUUCUGUAAGCCUGUGAAGGUGUGUCGUGAGGCAUGCUGGAGGUAUCAGAAGUGCGAAUGCUGACAUAAGUAACGAUAAAGCGGGUGAAAAGCCCGCUCGCCGGAAGACCAAGGGUUCCUGUCCAACGUUAAUCGGGGCAGGGUGAGUCGACCCCUAAGGCGAGGCCGAAAGGCGUAGUCGAUGGGAAACGGGUUAAUAUUCCCGUACUUGGUGUUACUGCGAAGGGGGGACGGAGAAGGCUAUGUUGGCCGGGCGACGGUUGUCCCGGUUUAAGCGUGUAGGUGUGUGUUCCAGGUAAAUCCGGUUCACUUUAACACUGAGGCGUGACGACGAGGCACUACGGUGCUGAAGCAACAAAUGCCCUGCUUCCAGGAAAAGCCUCUAAGCAUCAGGUAACAUCAAAUCGUACCCCAAACCGACACAGGUGGUCAGGUAGAGAAUACCAAGGCGCUUGAGAGAACUCGGGUGAAGGAACUAGGCAAAAUGGUGCCGUAACUUCGGGAGAAGGCACGCUGACACGUAGGUGAAGUGAUUUACUCAUGGAGCUGAAGUCAGUCGAAGAUACCAGCUGGCUGCAACUGUUUAUUAAAAACACAGCACUGUGCAAACACGAAAGUGGACGUAUACGGUGUGACGCCUGCCCGGUGCCGGAAGGUUAAUUGAUGGGGUCAGCGCAAGCGAAGCUCCUGAUCGAAGCCCCGGUAAACGGCGGCCGUAACUAUAACGGUCCUAAGGUAGCGAAAUUCCUUGUCGGGUAAGUUCCGACCUGCACGAAUGGCGUAAUGAUGGCCAGGCUGUCUCCACCCGAGACUCAGUGAAAUUGAACUCGCUGUGAAGAUGCAGUGUACCCGCGGCAAGACGGAAAGACCCCGUGAACCUUUACUAUAGCUUGACACUGAACAUUGAGCCUUGAUGUGUAGGAUAGGUGGGAGGCUUUGAAGUGUGGACGCCAGUCUGCAUGGAGCCGACCUUGAAAUACCACCCUUUAAUGUUUGAUGUUCUAACGUGGACCCGUUACCCGGGUUGCGGACAGUGUCUGGUGGGUAGUUUGACUGGGGCGGUCUCCUCCUAAAGAGUAACGGAGGAGCACGAAGGUUGGCUAAUCCUGGUCGGACAUCAGGAGGUUAGUGCAAUGGCAUAAGCCAGCUUGACUGCGAGCGUGACGGCGCGAGCAGGUGCGAAAGCAGGUCAUAGUGAUCCGGUGGUUCUGAAUGGAAGGGCCAUCGCUCAACGGAUAAAAGGUACUCCGGGGAUAACAGGCUGAUACCGCCCAAGAGUUCAUAUCGACGGCGGUGUUUGGCACCUCGAUGUCGGCUCAUCACAUCCUGGGGCUGAAGUAGGUCCCAAGGGUAUGGCUGUUCGCCAUUUAAAGUGGUACGCGAGCUGGGUUUAGAACGUCGUGAGACAGUUCGGUCCCUAUCUGCCGUGGGCGCUGGAGAACUGAGGGGGGCUGCUCCUAGUACGAGAGGACCGGAGUGGACGCAUCACUGGUGUUCGGGUUGUCAUGCCAAUGGCACUGCCCGGUAGCUAAAUGCGGAAGAGAUAAGUGCUGAAAGCAUCUAAGCACGAAACUUGCCCCGAGAUGAGUUCUCCCUGAGACUUAGAGUCUCCUGAAGGAACGUUGAAGACGACGACGUUGAUAGGCCGGGUGUGUAAGCGCAGCGAUGCGUUGAGCUAACCGGUACUAAUGAACCGUGAGGCUUAACCUUACAACGCCGAAG